This 233-nucleotide transfer RNA is filed under the name Pneumocystis jirovecii. RNAcentral describes it as "tRNA-Pseudo(TAA)". Lineage: Eukaryota; Fungi; Ascomycota; Pneumocystomycetes; Pneumocystales; Pneumocystaceae. The record is from RNAcentral.
AUUUUGUUAUUUUAUAUAUCAUAAAAAUGUUUUAAAUAUGCUUAAUAAAAGAAUGUAAAUACUAGUACAAUUUCAUUUAAAAAUUACAUUCUGGCUUAAAAUAUAUUUUUAUAAAAAUAUUCUUUAUAUAAUUAUUAGAUUUAAUUUUUUACAUUAUUAUAUUGUUAGGUAUAUAUAGUUUUUAUAAAUUAUAAAUAAAAACAUAAGAUAUUUAUUCUAUUUAAAACUAAAUA